CCCUCUGUAGCUCAACGGUAGAGCGUUCGGUUGUAGCCCGAAAGGUUGCUGGUUCAAAUCCGGCCGGAGGGA
This 72-nucleotide transfer RNA is filed under the name Candidatus Woesearchaeota archaeon. RNAcentral's name for it is "tRNA-Tyr". It matches the Rfam family "tRNA". From Rfam's summary of the family: Transfer RNA (tRNA) molecules are approximately 80 nucleotides in length. Their secondary structure includes four short double-helical elements and three loops (D, anti-codon, and T loops). Lineage: Archaea; Nanobdellati; Candidatus Woesearchaeota. The record is from RNAcentral.